Molecule: long non-coding RNA, 4230 nt
Organism: Felis catus (domestic cat)
Lineage: Eukaryota; Metazoa; Chordata; Mammalia; Carnivora; Felidae
Exons: 10
Source: RefSeq, a predicted model, not a curated record
GUUCAUUUGCAGUGCUUGUCAAUUGCUACUAUUUACUCUAGAAUUAUCAGUCAGGCACCUGGUCAUUUCCAUGGGAGACUUUCAAAAGUACAUAAAGUCUUUUCUCCAACCAGUUGGUUUCAUCAGACAUGAAUCUUCCAAUCUCCUGUGUGGUGAAUAGAAAUCUAGCUAUCAGUGCCCUGGUACUGUGAGGGACAGAGAGAGUGGGGGGUGGUUCUCACUAUUCAGUACAUGGUACGUAGACCUUACCUAACCCUCCUUUUUCAGUUUUACUUCCAUCUUCUACCAAACCUGGUAUCAUCCAGCCUGAAGACUCUCCCGCUCCAUUUCUCCAGAAAUUAAACCUCUAGUUGCCAGUUGGGUCGGUAAUGGUGUUGGCCCCUGCCUGCACAGGAGAGAACAAAAAUUUGGAAGGUCCAACCAUAGUCUUUUUUUCAGCCCCACCCUAUACCGCUUCCUACAGAGGGAAGUUCAGUUUCUGAGCCUUUGCAGGAUUUUAUAGCAGGGAUGCAUUUGCUUUUUGAUGGUUUGCACAGCAAAGCAAACUUUCCUGCUACUCUGUUAACUUUGUUACCACUCAUCCAUCUGCCUUCUGUCUUCCAACAUUUUGUUGCUAGCUCUUGUCUGCUGUUACUUCUGUCUUCUUUAUCCUUCAGGGCUUUAAUUUAAAAAAUAUAUUCCUUUUCAGUCAUUUUAGAGAGGCUAAGGGAUGGAGGUGUGAUAAAUGCAUGCAUUCGACAAAGACCGCCUUCUGAUUUUCUCAUAUGAAUUACUGAAAAGUAGGUAUAGCAGACGCUUUUGAUACCCUGCCACAUCUCCCCUUGACUCACUUUUGCAGGUGCAGGAACCAGCAUCUUCUAAGCCAUGCUAACAACUUCCCGCUCAAGCUCUUGCCUCAUCCUGCUUCUCUGGCUGAGGAUUUUCUCCAGAACCACAGGAGUUUGUUCACCUAAGAAAUGUUUGCCUUUGUAAACUGGAGCUACCAUGUAAAAAGACCAACUACCCUAAGGCCACCAUGCUGUAAAAAAAACCAAGGCACAUGAAAAGCAAGGACUGGUUGCUUUAGUAGGAUACUCAUACUGGGACCUUGAUCAUCUUCACAUUCUGUACAUCACAGUGUCCCAUCGUAUUAAUGAGAGCAUGAUAAUUGGACUUAACUUUUAGGAAGGAGCAAGUAUGCUGGUUGCUGGAGUAAAAUAAUUCAUUCCAGAGGUUGGGAGAUAAACCCUAUCCAUUUCUGAAGCCUGCCACAUCAGGGAAGGCUUUAGGGGCCCAAAGGUCUAGGACAUCUCAUCUAAAAGGAUGCACUGCACUUAUUACCACCAAGAAAGAGGCACAGCACUUGGUGAGCUACUUUGGAUUUUUGAGGUAAAAACUACUACCCUUGCAAAUACCACUCUGGCCUGCUUAUUAGAAGAUUGCUGGUUUUGAAAGGACCUGAGAGAGUAUUUAAAUAACCUUUUAAAGAUUCAGCAUAGCCAUCAGCCUAGGGAUGACACCUCACAUGAUUGGGACACUGUUCUCAAGGAUGUGGCAUAUAUGUUAAAACAAUGAUCUCUAUAUGUAGUCAUUAUGUGUGCCAUGUUUCCAAUAUCUACAAUACACAGGAGUGGUGGCUAAAGGAUCCAAGUAGGGAUGGCUCCAUGCACUGAACUCCCAGUGACCCAUUAGUGAAAAUUUGUGGUUCUAAUCCUCGUAAAUUUAGGCUCUUCCUAAUCAAAGACCUUGAUCUCAGGAAAUGUGUGUAGAGAGGGGGACACUUCCAAUAAGGAUAUUGUCAUGGUUUCACUGCAUUUAAAUCAUUGACUGCCACUGGAUGACCUUGGGAUCCUCAUGUUGAUAGAUCAACAGGCAAAAUAGGAAUUACUAAACUAGCGGGGAUACUUGACUAUGAAUAUAUUGAGGAGUUGGAGUUGCUGCUAUACAAGGGGGGCAGGGAGGAAGAUGUCUGGGACUUGGGGGAUUCACUGUGGUACCACUUAGUGCUUUUAUGCCCGGUGAUAACAGUAGAAGGGCAAUUGAGGCAACCAGAGCCUGAGAGUAGCAAGGAAGCCAGGCCUCAAUUACUUAGAAAUAAAGGUCUGGUCAUCCCACUGAGGAAGCAACUGAGACUAGUCACUGCUAGCUAGGGGUAAGGGAAAUCUAGAAGAGGUGGAAGAGGAGAGAGAUGAUGGGUAUUGCACAUGGCCCUGGGACCAGGUACAGCAGUGAAGACUGUGCAGUGUCCCACUACUUCUGUUAUUUUCAGUCUUUUCUUUUUUUGGAGAUUGUAGACAGGCAUAACCUUGAAAGUCGGUAAUACUGUAAACUUGAGGUAGGUAUAAGAGGGCCUAAUCAGAGCAAGGAGUGUGAAUGUGGUGAUCACCACUACCAUGCAGCUCAUGUCCCUGGUCCACCUCUUUGUCCCCCUGCAGCAGUAGCAAACAUUUCCAUGCACUGGACAGCCUUCUCCCUGGAGUGUCAUAACUCUCUGCUUCUCUGCCUGAGGCUCCUCUCAGCCCACACUUAGGAUAGCCUGGAAGUAGCGGGAUUAAUGCCUUCAAAGACAAACGUUAAGCACUGAGGUUUCAGAGUCAGGAGACAAAUGCUCCAACUCCUCCACUCUUCCACGUUGAUUACUUCUGAGACGUUCUACACAGUUUCUCAGAGGACCUCCAGUGGAGGUGAGCCCCAUUUGCCCAAAGUGGUAGCUUGUUCAUUAAUGCAUGCAUUUUUUACUUUUCUCUUUUCUUUCUCUUCUUUUGCCCACUCCAUCCCACGAGCCCCUGAGAUCGUCAAACCAUAUGCAGCCCAGUCCUUAUCUCAAGGUCUGCUCUUUGGGAAGCCUAAACGAAGAUGUCAUCGAUUUUUAAGGAAUAUAUGCUCCCUUACUGGGAUUUUUCCCACCUGCUGGGAAACUCAGCUCAACCCCCAGCUCAGAUACUGCUUACCUGUGAUCCACUGCUGGCCUGGCCACAGAUUCCAGAAGCAGUGACAGAGAAAAGCAGAGGAGUGUCACGGUGAUGUAAUAUGAGAAAGACUUGGUCAGCCACCACUGACUCUGACAAUGGAAGGUACCCAGGAGCCAAGGAAAGCAGGCAGCCUCUAGGAGCUGGAAAAGGCAAGGAAACUCAUUUUCCCCUGGAAUCUCCAAAAAGGAACUCAGCCCUGCAGAAGCUUGAUGAUAACCCGUGACGGGAGAAUGGAAUGAGAUGGUCAGCACUUGACAUCUACAGGGAAAUGUCCCACUAAAGAACUUGAUAUCAGCAACGAAGGGAAAUGAGAUUGUCCUCCAUGAGCUAAACAACAAAAUCGAUAUAUAUUGUAUGGAGCAGAGAUGUGCAAAGUCAUCAUGAUGAACAUAGUAAUCUGAUCGAAGGAGGAGGAACUAAUCAGACUCAGGACUGCCUGUCAACUGCUGGACCUCCUGUUUCAAGAGAUGAGCCAUGGAGUCAGGGGCGCUGCUCAUGCAUGGCAUGCUCUUUUGCUUUCUUUGAUCAGCCCGUCCAGCACUGGAGUUCUUGAGCCUCACAUCUUCAAAUCUAGAAAAUCUGCUGUCUUGGAUGGAGUAGAUUUCAGACCCAUGCUAAGCUGAACUCUGGAUACACCCUGUAUCACUCAUUCCUAAAACAGGUGGAAGCUAUUCCAAGGAACACUGGUGUCGGCUGAAGUUGACUGUGCAUGUCUAGACUCUACUACCAGCUUCUAGACCCAUAGUUUCAGCAGAAUGAACUCAGAUCAUCACAAGCUGGCGUGGAAAGGCUAUGUGACUCUUACUUAAAGAGAAAGAACCUCGACAGGGAUGGCAGAAAAUCUUAGCACUAUAAGCAUUGAAGAGCAAGAAAAAGAACCACUCCACCUCCAUUCCAGCCCUAGUCCACAGAUUAUAAGGCGCAGUAAAACCUGCCGAAGAAAUUGAUGCUGCAGAGGUAGAAGAAAAAUGAAUUUCAAACCUUCUGCCAAAUGUCCUCAGAGAUAGAUCACACUUUUGUUUAGCAAGAUACCAUUGAUAUUCAAAAAUAAAUCCAGUCUGUUUGGAAAACCCUUGAGAGUUAAAUUGGUUAAUGUAUUUAUGUAGUGAGGUAGGGAAAUACAGGUAGCACACUCUGGAAGAGGGCAGAGGGGGCAGAAAAAAGAAAAGACCUCUGGGUAAAGAAAGAGAGCAAGCAACAUGGCAGCAGGCCAAGACCUGAGGACAAAGACAACCAGUGUGAGAUUUCCCCAGAUUCUCUACAGUACACGGUACUAAAA